RNAcentral lists this ribosomal RNA (1404 nucleotides) under metagenome. Its description in RNAcentral is "bacterial SSU rRNA". It matches the Rfam family "Bacterial small subunit ribosomal RNA". The record is from RNAcentral.
AGAGUUUGAUCCUGGCUCAGGAUGAACGCUAGCGGCAGGCUUAACACAUGCAAGUCGAGGGGUAACAGGAGUAGCAAUACUUGCUGACGACCGGCGCACGGGUGAGUAACGCGUAUGCAACCUACCUCUAACUGAGGAAUAGCCCGGAGAAAUCCGGAUUAAUACUUCAUAAUAUUUCGAACUCGCAUGUUUUCGAAAUUAAAGCUUUGGCGGUUAGAGAUGGGCAUGCGUGACAUUAGUUAGUUGGUGAGGUAACGGCUCACCAAGACUGCGAUGUCUAGGGGGUCUGAGAGGAUGGUCCCCCACACUGGUACUGAGACACGGACCAGACUCCUACGGGAGGCAGCAGUGAGGAAUAUUGGGCAAUGGACGCAAGUCUGACCCAGCCAUGCCGCGUGCAGGAUGACUGCCCUAUGGGUUGUAAACUGCUUUUAUUUGGGAAGAAACCCCUGCUCGUGAGCGGGGCUGACGGUACCAAAAGAAUAAGCAUCGGCUAACUCCGUGCCAGCAGCCGCGGUAAUACGGAGGAUGCAAGCGUUAUCCGGAUUUAUUGGGUUUAAAGGGUGCGCAGGCGGGAAAUUAAGUCAGUGGUGAAAUCCUGCAGCUUAACUGUAGAAUUGCCAUUGAAACUGAUUUUCUUGAGUACAGUUGAGGUGGGCGGAAUGUGUAAUGUAGCGGUGAAAUGCUUAGAUAUUACACAGAACACCGAUUGCGUAGGCAGCUCACUAAACUGUUACUGACGCUCAGGCACGAAAGCGUGGGGAGCGAACAGGAUUAGAUACCCUGGUAGUCCACGCCGUAAACUAUGAUCACCCGUUGUUGGCAAUAAACAGUCAGCGACUAAGCUAAAGCAAUAAGUGAUCCACCUGGGGAGUACGGUCGCAAGAUUGAAACUCAAAGGAAUUGACGGGGGCCCGCACAAGCGGAGGAACAUGUGGUUUAAUUCUAUGAUACGCGAGGAACCUCACCUGGGCUUAAAUGCAGAACGAUUUCCGCCGAAAGGCGGUUUCCUUCGUGCGUUUUGCAAGGUGCUGCAUGGUUGUCGUCAGCUCGUGCCGUGAGGUGUCGGGUUAAGUCCCAUAACGAGCGCAACCCCCAUCGUUUUUGCCAUCGGGUAAUGCCGGGGACUCUAACGAAACUGCCGGUGUAAACCGUGAGGAAGGUGGGGAUGACGUCAAAUCAGCACGGCCCUUAUGUCCAGGGCUACACACGUGUUACAAUGGCCAGUACAAAGGGCAGCUACCUGGUGACAGGAUGCUAAUCUCUAAAACUGGUCUCAGUUCGGAUCGAAGUCUGCAACUCGACUUCGUGAAGGUGGAUUCGCUAGUAAUCGCGCAUCAGCAAUGGCGUGGUGAAUACGUUCCCGGGCCUUGUACACACCGCCCGUCAAGCCAUGGAAGCUCG